AGCCUGCAAUUGCUAAUGGGCAAAAGCUGAAAAAGAGCUGGGAUGACAAACCAAUAAUAUAGACUUUCAUAUAGAUUAGCUGAUAAAUUAUGAAAGUGCAUAUACAAUUCCGCUGAGAAAUUGAUAAAGAAGAAGUAGAUGGGAGAUUGGAAGAUUCGCAGACGCAGACAAAGAGACGAAGAGGUAGAGCUGCAGCCCCAGAGGAAAGGGGGACCGGAGCUGGAAUCGCAGAGACUAGAGACGAAGAGGUAGAGCUGCAGACGCAGAGGGGAGGUGGACCGGAGGUGGAGGCCGGACUUGGGGAGAGUCGCGAUUUGCGAUGUGGUUGUGGAGAAGCAAAGCGAAACUAGAGAUUUGGGAUUAUAAAAUGCAAGAUUAUUAAUUUUAAGAUGAAAUAGUGUUAGUGA
RNAcentral lists this long non-coding RNA (407 nucleotides) under Panax ginseng (ginseng). RNAcentral's name for it is "long non-coding RNA (PGIN_LNC004696)". Lineage: Eukaryota; Viridiplantae; Streptophyta; Magnoliopsida; Apiales; Araliaceae. The record is from RNAcentral.